Molecule: ribosomal RNA, 392 nt
Filed under: uncultured bacterium
Lineage: Bacteria
Description: bacterial SSU rRNA
Rfam family: Bacterial small subunit ribosomal RNA
Source: RNAcentral
AUUGAACGCUGGCGGCAUGCCUUACACAUGCAAGUCGAACGGCAGCGGACCUUCGGGUGCCGGCGAGUGGCGAACGGGUGAGUAAUAUAUCGGAACGUACCUUUCAGUGGGGGAUAACGUAGCGAAAGUUACGCUAAUACCGCAUAUUCUGUGAGCAGGAAAGCAGGGGAUCGCAAGACCUUGCGCUGAUUGAGCGGCCGAUAUCAGAUUAGCUAGUUGGUGAGGUAAAGGCUCACCAAGGCGACGAUCUGUAGCGGGUCUGAGAGGAUGAUCCGCCACACUGGAACUGAGACACGGUCCAGACUCCUACGGGAGGCAGCAGUGGGGAAUUUUGGACAAUGGGCGCAAGCCUGAUCCAGCCAUGCCGCGUGAGUGAAGAAGGCCUCGGUUGG